This 229-nucleotide ribosomal RNA is filed under the name uncultured Staphylococcus sp. RNAcentral's name for it is "partial 16S ribosomal RNA". It matches the Rfam family "Bacterial small subunit ribosomal RNA", at positions 111 to 334 of the family's 1533-position model. The record is from RNAcentral. Lineage: Bacteria; Bacillati; Bacillota; Bacilli; Caryophanales; Staphylococcaceae.
UAACACGUGGAUAACCUACCUAUAAGACUGGGAUAACUUCGGGAAACCGGAGCUAAUACCGGAUAAUAUUUUGAACCGCAUGGUUCAAAAGUGAAAGACGGUCUUGCUGUCACUUAUAGAUGGAUCCGCGCUGCAUUAGCUAGUUGGUAAGGUGACGGCUUACCAAGGCAACGAUGCAUAGCCGACCUGAGAGGGUGAUCGGCCACACUGGAACUGAGACACGGUCCAG